AACCAGUUAGCCUUGUGAAUAAGGCUUUGGAUUGUCAAUCCGAAGACAGCGGGUGCGAUUCCCGUUCCGGUCG
Non-coding RNA from Aedes albopictus (Asian tiger mosquito), 73 nucleotides. The record is from Rfam. Lineage: Eukaryota; Metazoa; Arthropoda; Insecta; Diptera; Culicidae.